RNAcentral lists this small RNA (183 nucleotides) under Pseudocitrobacter vendiensis. RNAcentral's name for it is "GlmZ RNA activator of glmS mRNA". The stretch from base 1 to 143 matches the Rfam family "Glm Y RNA activator of glmS mRNA". Rfam says of the family: This family consists of a number of bacterial RNA genes of around 167 bases in length. The function of this RNA is unknown. Lineage: Bacteria; Pseudomonadati; Pseudomonadota; Gammaproteobacteria; Enterobacterales; Enterobacteriaceae. The record is from RNAcentral.
GUGGCUCAUUCACCUUCUUAUGUCAGCCCCUUCGGGACGUGCUACAUAAACUUCGAAUGACGCACAACAAGGUGCCUGCCGUCCAGCUUCUGAUAUCUUUGCAUAUCAACCAUCGGGCGAAACGUUGAGUUAGGCACCGCCUUAUUCCAGAACAAAGCCGGGUUUCGACCCGGCUUUGUUAUU